UCUUGAUAAUUGUAAUCCCUACUCACUGAUCUCCCUACUGGGUUGAUCUGAAAGGUUUGUCUUAUUCGUAUUUUGGUAAGCUGUUUAUUAGGACCGGGCCAGCUCCGGACUGAACUCAUGUUCUGUGUUUUAUGUAGUGAUUUUUGGACAGGUUUUUUUUUGUUGUUGUUUUUUUCUAAAUAGCUAUGAUUUUGCCAUGACCUUUGAGCACCACACGGGACACCUUCUUUCUGCAUCUCCAUAAUCUCAUCCUGCAGCUUCUCCAGUUAUCCUUUAUGCAGUAAUCAAAACUGAGGUUACUGUGAAGCUUUAGCAAUGAUGAUUGACAAGAAAACAAUCUAAAGUGACCUGACACCUAAACGUGAGCUUUCCUAGAAGAGAAAGAAAAGAGGUAGAUGUGGAUCUGGCUUGUUCACCUGAGUAGAGUGCUGAGAGCCAGCAAUAAACACAUUGCUGAACUGCUGAGAAACCCUGCGAGCCUGAGAUUGCUGACAAAAUCUUGGAAUUGCUGAGAGAGCUUUAGUGGAAGAAGUCUGCUUUUAUUUUUCCAGUCUGUCUCACUUUAAAUUUCUUAGCUGUAUUGCUUCCAUUUUAGAAACUCCUUAGAAGGGGCUGCUGGUAUUAUUUUUAAGCUUAAUCUCUUUGAAACUGGCUUUUGCUUAUUUUAUCUGCACUGCUUUACCUUCGGGGCAUUGCUGUCUGUUCUCACAAGGUCAAUACCUGUUUUUCACUGAUACUGUUUCCUACAGAAGACUUUAACAAAAGCCCUGGUUUUUUCUUGCUUUUGAUUUGAGGAUCCAUGCAAAAUCUCUGGCAGUGUCUACAGGUUGCUCUACUUACUUUGAAAGUGAAUUGCCUGAUGAGGAAAAUACCCACUCCCACCACGUACUGGCGUUUCGGCUCCAGAUAAUAUCUUCUGUGCGUAAUAACUUCCACAGUGUGAGGGAACCUUGUCGGCACGAUGUGUGUCCACCUUUAAUCAGCGUUCAGGCAGGAGAGAGGCUUCCCACCCCUGUGCAUGGGUUGGUGUGCCGCUGCUGCCGCUCGGCAAUGGUCUGCUCUGUCCGCAGCUCAGCCAGCACUGCAUCGGAUUGUUUGGGAAGUCUCAGGGGCUGCCGAGUACCAGGAUAAAGUUCUUGGGAAGGCGUCAUUGCGAGAAGACUGACAGUGCGCACAGGAACCACAGCUACAGCCAGUCACCGAUUCGUUUCCUGCUUGAGUGCCAUAAAACAUUUUCAGAAAUGGAAGGAGAUAAAGGCCAGAGUGCUAAAGCUACCAGCGCAGUGGGUGACCUGAGGAAAAGUUGGCAGACCUGGGCAGAGGAUCACAUUGAGUAUCAGAGGAAGAAUCCGUUCAGCAGCGACGACAGGCUUGCGUCUAAACCCGCGCAUUCUCACAGAGGAGACCCUACCUAUGGGAGACCCCCUGAAGGGUCUCGGACAGAGCAGAGAGGGAAAGAUGCUCACUCACACGUGGGGAAGGAAGUAGAAGAGCUGUGCUUGAUCAUCAGAAGAACUGGAGAGGUAGGAGAAGAUGGACACGUGAGUGUGACAUUCGGGCAGCUGUUUGAAACAUAUGUGACUAUUUCCAAUAAAGUAGUGGGAAUAUUGUUAAGAGCCAGAAAACACGGUCUGGUUCAUUUUGAAGGUGAAAUGCUUUGGCAAGGAAAAGACAAUGAUGUGGUCAUCACUUUACUACAGUAAGGCUUUGUCCUGGAAUGAACUUUGCUGCAUGGUUCCAUUUAGAAAAACGCAUCUAGAUACCAUCUUCACAGGUUUUGGUUACAGAAUUUCAGCUCAGCUACCUACUGGGACACAAGCAGGAGAGGAAAUGGGCGAGAAGGAUAAAGCAUAUUUUUGUAAAAACGGUAGAGAUUUGGACAGAAAUUGCAGAUUAUGAACUACUCCAUCACCCUGACUUUGGAUGUCCUUACCAUCUACUACCAGUAUAUGAGUGCUCUUCAAAUAACUCUGCUGGCCUACUGCUUUUAGGUUACUGAAAGUAUAAAUUACUAACUUGCUAUCCUACAACAUUAAUUCCUGCAGGUUGUGAAAUGCUGACUGCAUGGGAGAAUGGGAUUUGUAAAACGUGGAAUUGAAAACUCUUGUGGGAAUUCAUACACUUCUUCAAACAAUGAGCCUGGUAUAUAGCAAAAGUUUCGGUUCAAUCUCACAUGGUUAAACUGAAUAAAUGGAAGCUAUUUUCAUGAAGGAGAUGGAAAUUCACAAACUUGCAGAAAUACCACAGCAAGGAUACUUGAUGGUUCCUAAUUAGUUGCAUCUUGCUUGGAUUUUGGACAGUUGCAUUAGUUCUGGUAUUUAAUAGUCUAAUCUUACAAUUAUGUCUUCUCCGAACCUUCUGUGUCUCUUGUUCUUUUUGUUUCCUAUCUCACACAGUUUUACCUUUUCUGUUCUUCUAAUGCUUGAGAAGAAGUCCACAAAGCUCUGAGGCCUUUUCGGACGAAUUCAGCAAUACCCCUUCAUAGAAGGUAGAGUACCACUGUGUAAAGAUGCAAAAGCCCACAGAAACUCUGUAUUGGUUCACCUGUGCUUUCCUAAAGAAAUAAAAGGCUUUUAUUUCAUCAAAAUAUAGCAAUGUUUUUUUACAAGAGGAGGGUAGAGAUACUGUACUGCCACAUGCAUAAAUGAAAGCAUAGCAGCACAGUCCCAUACCUCAUUUACCUGCUCUCAGGGCACAGUUGUGAGCUCUUCAGAAAGAAAAAUAAAGUACUGGUACUAUCAUAGUGCUAUGAAAAAUAAUCAGGAGCUGUAUUUACAAUAGUUCCCACCAAUAAAGCUAUAUAAUUAGAAAUCUAAAGUUCUAUUUUUUAGCAGUGCAAACAGAAGCUUUUGUGUGGUGUUAACUACACUACUUCAUGGGUCUUUAAAGUAAAAUACUGUCUUGCAUCAAAAGCAUAUUACAAUUUAAUUUAAAUUAGGAACUUUAUAAAAGUGAUGUGUAAUUAUAUGCUAUUUAUAUAAAAGAACUUCUAUUGCAAAAAGCCUAAAAGAAUGGGGUUUUGUUUUGAUGUUUUCAUCCAGUGGGGAUUUGCAACAAACUAAGUCUUUGGCUGAGGAUUUCAUUUUCAGCCUGCCUUCUUUUUCUUUCUGGUGAAAGGACAAUGAAAAGAGAGAAAAAAAAAAAAAAGGAGUAAAUUAAUGUGCUGAAGUAAGUGUAUCUGGGGAACAGGGCAGUCAAAUGUAGGUAGAGAAUGGGUUUUAAUUACCACACAAUUUUACCACGUUGGAAAAGGGGAGAUACAUGCUGCACCAGGCAAUAUUGGUGUGCUCCCUUAGGUUUCAAACCUACUGCUUCUUUCUAAAUAGACCUACAUCUUGCAGCUGAAAAAGAAGACAUGUAGUUUGUGAUCUUAACAUAUUUAAAAUGCUUUGUUCUUUUUGGAAAAGCAUUUCUUGCCAAAUGACAUGAGCACACAGGGCACAUACAGGUAUAAUACGGAGUAUUUCAGCUCCCAUUAGAGGAGGUCUUUACAUGCACUCAGAUUUCAACACAAAUUGAGCUUUUUACAGUGCAGAUAUGGAAUGAGUUUUGUUUAAUUCUAACAGUUCUGAAAUCCACUCUGUUCCACUAUGGUGUUAGUUCUUAACCUGCAGGAAGCAGCACCAAGCACUUCAAGUGUCACCAGCUGACUAAUGGGAUGGCACCAUCAGGAAAAAAAAUACAUUGCUGGACACUGUACAAAUAAUUCAUUGCAAGACACACACGUGAGGCAGUAUGUAGGCUGAGCAACAUAAGAUGCAAGUCCAGCUCACAUAAAUUUACUGGAUUUUAAUUAAGGCUGGCUCAAACAGUUAAAUAUCAGCAAUCUACACUGCCACUGCCAUGUAAGUGGUAGAUACUUGAGCACAUCUACAGACACUUUAAGUACACCUCUGAUCAAAACAGAAGCAGAGCAAACCCUUAAUGACAUGGUCUUACCUAAUUUGUGAGCAACUAAAAAAAGCUUCCUCUAUUAUUAUAUUUUUAAUAGAACCAAUGAUUACUAUGUAACAAAACUAUUAUUUAUAGAGGGAUUUUUUUUUUUUAAACAGUUACAAAGCCAUGUUUCCAACCUGCCAGCUUUAGAUGAGCAUUCUGGAAAGUGUGACUGAAAUCUUUCUGUGUGCCCAUGGAAUGAUUAUAAACACUGAGCUGCCAAACUGGCUCAGCACACAGGUUGACAAAUCCAGUCUUGUGCUUCCAACAAUAGCCAAUAUUUUAAAAAAAAGACUAAAUGAUAAAUAAUAGAACUGGUCAGCUUGCCCACUGGUACACUCUAGAAUAAAAAAUUACUCCUGAAGCCUGUAUAGUCAUGAAUGCUCAUAUCUAAUGCACAUGACUCAGUUUAGCUACAAGUUUAAAAAAAUAUACCAUCUGUGAUUAGAUUAACAUCUACAGAUGAAACAGGAAUUUAAACUUUUCAACAUGCAACUUUUUUUUUUUUUUUUAGCAGGUUCCCAUUAAAUGGAACAGAACUUAUUAAAUUAUUUUUGCAAAAAUUGUAGCAUGUGAGGUGUUUCAGUAUUACAGAUUAUUUGGACUAGUAAGUAAACCCUAACCUUUUAAAAGGUGUUCUUGCCCUACUAAGCAUCUUUCAGCUGUUUAAAUCUCUCCUAAAUUUCACUUUGUGACAGAUUACCUCAGUGGUCUUUCCUCUCCUUCCACUUAAAGCCUGCAUCUGUUUUAGAGUGUUUAUCAUAUAAGGAUUAUCUGUGGUUUGUUUUGUCAAACACUGAAGGCACUGUUACCAUUUUAAUAAAUGUUGCACAUUAGUUUGAAAUGACAAGAGUUUUUAUGCAGCAUUUUAUUGUUUACAAGUUUCUCAAAUUUCAAAUACAAUUUCCCCUGGUUUGUUCCCGUUCUUCUACUUUUAUUUACAACUCACACUUAAAAAGACUUUGGAAUAGUCUGAGGAGUUAUGACCAAUUUAAGCACAAUUUCCUCUUAUUUUUAACACUAUUUUAUGUACACCUGUUUCAUCCUUUCAGCAUAAUUUAAGCAUCAUUCAGCAUAAUUUCAGCAUUAUUCUCUGGGUUCGUGUUAGGUUGGGAGUUUACGUAAAACAAUUGAGCAAAACAGUACAAAUAAAGCUUUGUCAUUCCUAAACAUGAGGUCAAAAAAGCAGCUUUUCUCAAGACUGCUAAUACUGGAUCAAAGAACAGAGCAAGCAGCAAUGGCUAAACAACUUUCCUUUGCUUCUCCAGACUCCUGGAGAGUAAGAGUUUCUGAGUUCAUGCUUCUUAUUGAUCUUUGCUCCUUAGAAAGCUCUGCAGAUGAUUUCUGAAGUUUUAAAAUUACUAAAAGCUUCUAUAGAAGACAGUGACAAAGUUAAUAGGAUCUGCACUCUGUCUCUUCCAGGGGCUAGCCAGUAAUUCAGAAACAUAUUGGAAGUAUUAGGUUAGGCUUUUCAGAAAGUAUUUCUUCACCUAAUUAAAAAAAUUAUCUGCAGAGUCCAAGAAUGCUUGUCAGUGCAGAAGGAAAACAGACCACAGUUCUGUGCUGAAAAACACUAACGAGAGGCUGAGCAUUCCUCUCAGUAAUUAGUGUGCCUCUGUUUAAUGCUUUUCUAUUUCAGCUGUUCUGAGGCCUGUCUGUUGCUAUCAGGGAACACAGGUUUUCCCCAUCUUUUUCAUCAGCAAAACACUGGAAGUGACAUUAUACCCAGAUUUUUACCUUUCCAGUCUUGUCAUUAGUGGGGCCCUACUACAAAGAUAUAAAAGUUGGCCUUUGUGCUUUCAUAUACAUUUGGCAACAUACAGAGUCUAGCUGGGAUGGAGGUAACUUCCCUCAGAGCAUCCCAGGUUUUGGGUGUGACUGGAAGUGUCCCAGCUGUUCUGGUGAUUGCUGAGCAGUGUGUGUACAAUGUCAGGGUCUUCUUUCUCCUGCUCUGCCUUCCCACUGGGCAAAAAGCUUGGAGAGAGCACAACCUGCAUGCCUGACACAGACUGGCCAGCAGGUAUAUUCCAUGACAUAGAAUGUCUGGAAUAAAAACUGAAGAGAGGGCUUUCUUCUGGGGGGGGUGGGGGCCAUAGCUACUGGCCUGACUGUGGGAGGUCUUGAAUGAUUACC
This is an RNA transcript of Poecile atricapillus (Black-capped chickadee), 6069 nucleotides long. It is a transcript of the gene named actin-binding Rho-activating protein-like, with no coding region annotated. The record is from RefSeq and is a predicted model, not a curated record. The transcript is spliced from 3 exons. NCBI's taxonomy places the organism in Eukaryota, Metazoa, Chordata, Aves, Passeriformes, Paridae.